RNAcentral lists this transfer RNA (74 nucleotides) under Gaeumannomyces tritici R3-111a-1. RNAcentral describes it as "tRNA-Asn (GTT) (tRNA-Asn-GTT-2-1)". It matches the Rfam family "tRNA". Rfam says of the family: Transfer RNA (tRNA) molecules are approximately 80 nucleotides in length. Their secondary structure includes four short double-helical elements and three loops (D, anti-codon, and T loops). Further hydrogen bonds mediate the characteristic L-shaped molecular structure. tRNAs have two regions of fundamental functional importance: the anti-codon, which is responsible for specific mRNA codon recognition, and the 3' end, to which the tRNAs corresponding amino acid is attached (by aminoacyl-tRNA synthetases). tRNAs cope with the degeneracy of the genetic code in two manners: having more than one tRNA (with a specific anti-codon) for a particular amino acid; and 'wobble' base-pairing, i.e. permitting non-standard base-pairing at the 3rd anti-codon position. RNAcentral also lists the same sequence under 1 other name. The record is from RNAcentral. Lineage: Eukaryota; Fungi; Ascomycota; Sordariomycetes; Magnaporthales; Magnaporthaceae.
GUCUUCGUGGCGCAAUUGGCUAGCGCGUCUGACUGUUAAUCAGGAGGUUCCUGGUUCGAGCCCAGGCGAGGACG